UAAGGAAUAUUGGUCAAUGGACGCAAGUCUGAACCAGCCAUGCCGCGUGAAGGAUGAAGGUCCUCUGGAUUGUAAACUUCUUUUAUCUGGGACGAAAACGGGAUUUUUAUCUCAAUUGACGGUACCAGGGGAAUAAGCACCGGCUAACUCCGUGCCAGCAGCCGCGGUAAUACGGAGGGUGCGAGCGUUAUCCGGAUUUACUGGGUUUAAAGGGUGCGUAGGUGGGCUUAUAAGUCAGUGGUGAAAUCUCCGAGCUUAACUUGGAAACUGCCGUUGNUACUAUAGGUCUUGAAUUAUCUGGAGGUAAGCGGAAUAUGUCAUGUAGCGGUGAAAUGCUUAGAUAUGACAUAGAACACCAAUUGCGAAGGCAGCUUACUACAUAUAAAUUGACGCUGAGGCACGAAAGCGUGGGGAUCAAACA
Molecule: ribosomal RNA, 421 nt
Filed under: uncultured bacterium
Lineage: Bacteria
Description: bacterial SSU rRNA
Rfam family: Bacterial small subunit ribosomal RNA
Source: RNAcentral